Molecule: ribosomal RNA, 492 nt
Filed under: uncultured bacterium
Lineage: Bacteria
Description: partial 16S ribosomal RNA
Rfam family: Bacterial small subunit ribosomal RNA
Source: RNAcentral
AGUGAACGCUGGCGGUAGGCCUAACACAUGCAAGUCGAACGGCAGCACAGUAAGAGCUUGCUCUUACGGGUGGCGAGUGGCGGACGGGUGAGGAAUACAUCGGAAUCUACUUUUUCGUGGGGGAUAAUGUAGGGAAACUUACGCUAAUACCGCAUACGACCUACGGGUGAAAGCAGGGGAUCUUCGGACCUUGCGCGAUUGAAUGAGCCGAUGUCGGAUUAGCUAGUUGGCGGGGUAAAGGCCCACCAAGGCGACGAUCCGUAGCUGGUCUGAGAGGAUGAUCGGCCACACUGGAACUGAGACACGGUCCAGACUCCUACGGGAGGCGGCAGUGGGGAAUAUUGGACAAUGGGCGCAAGCCUGAUCCAGCCAUCCCGCGUGGGUGAAGAAGGCCUUCGGGUUGUAAAGCCCUUUUGUUGGGAAAGAAAAGCAGCAGGUUAAUACCCCGCUGUUCUGACGGUACCCAAAGAAUAAGCACCGGCUAACUUCGUG